Ornithodoros turicata is the source of this 987-nucleotide long non-coding RNA. RefSeq lists it as uncharacterized. The record is from RefSeq and is a predicted model, not a curated record. Lineage: Eukaryota; Metazoa; Arthropoda; Arachnida; Ixodida; Argasidae. The transcript has 3 exons.
GAAAUCAAAUGUUAGUGAAAGUUUCCGUCGGUGGGCGAGAACAGGAAGAACGGCUACACAAUAAAAUUGACCUGGCAUGCCCGCAGUUAUGAAUGACAGAUUACUUACACCUUCUAGUAGUAGUAAACCUCGCAUGAAAUACCAGGGAUAAUUAGCAGGACAAACAAACAAGCAAAGACCCACUUGUUUGUAUGUUUUAUCUUCCACCUAUAAAAGAGGCAGAAGCUGCGGGCUCAAUCCAGGGUUGUACUUCAACUAUCCUGCUUCAACUGUCCUUCAAGUGUCCUGCGACCACCAGAAUGAAGCUCUCUUUUGUGCUUUUUACCCUUGGCCUUCUUCUGACCAUGACAACUGAUUUCGCUGCCGGACAGUUCCAGUACGCAGUGGACGUAAAUUGCAUGUCACAUGCUGGUGAUUGCACAGCAGAUGGUGGGAAAUGUGGAACACCUCAAGAUGACUGCCGGUGUUCCUGGUUGUCGGGGCUUUCCUAUUAUCGGUGCGAAUAGCACGAGCAGAAGAACACAGUGCGCGUGCUUAAGAAGCACACUGCGGUAUACUACACUGAAAAUGAAGAUAAAUACUGUGGAACAAUAAAGACAAAAAAAAACACAAUUCUUAUAUAAAGCAAGCAGCAAUAUUUCAUUAUUUCUUUCUUUCACCAGCGCUAUCCCUUCCGUACGCAAAGGCGAUAGCGUACGUAAGGGAUAGCGUGGUACUGCGCAAUUCGCGAAGACCUGUUUUAUGGUUACGCAUGCGUAGAACCACCAACGCAAUCCAUUACGUACGCUGUCUUCUUUGCGUACGUAAGGGGGGAAUAUGUUUGAUAGAAUGAAAAGAAAGAAAAAUGAAAAUGUCAGCCAGGCUAAUGCCGGUAGCCGGCUUGCUAUUUCAAUAAAGGAUGGAGCUUGUGUAAUCUUGUGCAAUCUUUGUGUAAUCUGUUUGGAAGAAACUCAAAAUAAACACAGGAAAAAAAAAAAGAAAAAGAAA